RNAcentral lists this ribosomal RNA (440 nucleotides) under uncultured bacterium. RNAcentral describes it as "partial 16S ribosomal RNA". It matches the Rfam family "Bacterial small subunit ribosomal RNA", at positions 338 to 795 of the family's 1533-position model. The record is from RNAcentral.
CCUACGGGUGGCAGCAGUGGGGAAUAUUGCACAAUGGGGGGAACCCUGAUGCAGCGACGCCGCGUGGGUGAAGAAGUCCUUCGUGACGUAAAGCCCUAUCAGCAGGGAAGAAAAUGACGGUACCUGACUAAGAAGCCACGGCUAACUACGUGCCAGCAGCCGAGGGAAUACGUAGGGGGCAAGCGUUAUCCGGAUUUACUGGGUGGAAAGGGAGCGUAGACGGCGGCGCAAGUCCGGCGUGAAAGCCCACGGGUCCACCGGGGGACUGCUCUGGAAACUGGGCGGCUUGAGUGCGGGAGGGGCAGGCGGAAUGCCUAGUGUAGCGGUGAAAUGCGUAGAUAUUAGGAGGAACACCGGCGGCGAAGGCGGCCUGCUGGACCGUAACUGACGUUGAGGCUCGAAAGCGUGGGGAGCAAACAGGAUUAGAUACCCCGGUAGUC